GACGAACGCUGGCGGCGUGCUUAACACAUGCAAGUCGAACGUGAUUUUUGUGGAAAUUCUUUCGGGAACGGAAAUAAAAUGAAAGUGGCGAACGGGUGAGUAACACGUGAGCAACCUACCUUACACAGGGGGAUAGCCGUUGGAAACGACGAUUAAUACCGCAUGAGACCACAGAAUCGCAUGAUAUAGGGGUCAAAGAUUUAUCGGUGUAAGAAGGGCUCGCGUCUGAUUAGCUAGUUGGAAGGGUAAAGGCCUACCAAGGCGACGAUCAGUAGCCGGUCUGAGAGGAUGAACGGCCACAUUGGAACUGAGACACGGUCCAAACUCCUACGGGAGGCAGCAGUGGGGAAUAUUGCACAAUGGGGGGAACCCUGAUGCAGCGACGCCGCGUGAGCGAAGAAGGUUUUCGAAUCGUAAAGCUCUGUCCUAUGAGAAGAUAAUGACGGUAUCAUAGGAGGAAGCCCCGGCUAAAUACGUGCCAGCAGCCGCGGUAAUACGUAUGGGGCGAGCGUUGUCCGGAAUUAUUGGGCGUAAAGGGUACGUAGGCGGCCUUUUAAGUCAGGUGUGAAAGCGUGAGGCUUAACCUCAUUAAGCACUUGAAACUGGAAGACUUGAGUGAAGGAGAGGAAAGUGGAAUUCCUAGUGUAGCGGUGAAAUGCGUAGAUAUUAGGAGGAAUACCGGUGGCGAAGGCGACUUUCUGGACUUUUACUGACGCUCAGGUACGAAAGCGUGGGGAGCAAACAGGAUAGAUACCGCAGUAGUCCAAGGGCGAAUUCCACAGUGGAAUUCAAGCUUAUCGAUACCGUCGACCUGGGGGGUUUGUCGUUGUUAUCUAUUUUUUUUUCCUUUAGUGGGGUUUAUUAU
This 865-nucleotide ribosomal RNA is filed under the name uncultured Parvimonas sp. Its description in RNAcentral is "bacterial SSU rRNA". It matches the Rfam family "Bacterial small subunit ribosomal RNA". The record is from RNAcentral. Lineage: Bacteria; Bacillati; Bacillota; Tissierellia; Tissierellales; Peptoniphilaceae.